UACGUAGGGACCAAGCGUUGUUCGGAUUUACUGGGCGUAAAGGGCGCGUAGGCGGCUUGACAAGUCACUUGUGAAAUCUCCGGGCUUAACUCGGAACGGCCAAGUGAAACUGUCAUGCUAGAGUGCAGAAGGGGCAAUCGGAAUUCUUGGUGUAGCGGUGAAAUGCGUAGAUAUCAGGAAGAACACCCGUGGCGAAGGCGGCUCUCUGGGACGGUACUGACGCUGAGACGCGAAAGCGUGGGGAGCGAACAGG
This 253-nucleotide ribosomal RNA is filed under the name uncultured bacterium. Its description in RNAcentral is "partial 16S ribosomal RNA". It matches the Rfam family "Bacterial small subunit ribosomal RNA", at positions 524 to 776 of the family's 1533-position model. The record is from RNAcentral.